This is a long non-coding RNA of Carassius gibelio (silver crucian carp), 3955 nucleotides long. RefSeq lists it as uncharacterized. The record is from RefSeq and is a predicted model, not a curated record. The transcript is spliced from 9 exons. Lineage: Eukaryota; Metazoa; Chordata; Actinopteri; Cypriniformes; Cyprinidae.
GCUAUGGAGACAGCACAAGCUUUAUUUCAACAUGUUUUUCGAAUUUAUGGCAUACCAGAGGAUAUUGUUUCUGACAGAGGCCCACAAUUCACGUCCCGAGUAUGGCAAGCCUUCUGCAAACAAUUAGACAUUAAUGUCAGUUUAACAUCAGGUUAUCACCCUCAAGCAAAUGGACAGGUGGAGAGAGUAAACCAAGAAAUUGGGCGAUAUCUUAGAUCCUACUGUAGUCAAGAACAGGAACGUUGGAAUGAAUUCCUACCCUGGGCAGAAUAUGCAAGAAACUCCCUUACUCACUCAUCUACAGGACUCACCCCCUUCAAGUGUGUUUUAGGAUAUCAACCCCCCAUGUUCCCUUGGUCGGGUGAACCUUCAGAAGUUCCGGCAGUGGAUGACUGGGUCAGAAGAAGCGAAAGAGUCUGGGACAGCGCUCAUGUGAGGCUACAGAGGGCAAUCAGAGCCCAGAAAACCCAAGCAGAUCGUAGGAGAAGUCCCCACCCAAACUAUCAGCCGGGUCAGAGGGUAUGGUUAUCGACUCGAGAUCUACAGUUACGGCUACCCUGCAAAAAGCUCAGUCCACGGUAUGUAGGCCCAUUUCGGAUAAUAAAGCAAAUUAAUCCAGUAACAUACAGGAUAGAGCUCCCAGCUCAUUAUCGCAUUUCUCCUUCAUUUCAUGUAUCUCUGUUAAAACCCGCUCAUCCUGCUUCCGGUCCUGCCUCCGAGGAGAGGGAGCCCCCCCCACCACUGGAUGUUGAUGGAGCUCCGGCUUACCUGGUCAAGGAUAUCAUAGAUUCCAGACGUUGGGGGGGGGCAGACUACAAUACCUAGUGGACUGGGAGGGCUACGGCCCAGAAGAAAGAUCUUGGGUGGCCGCCAAGGACAUAUUAGACCCAUCAUUGACCCGGGAUUUCCAUCAUGCACAUCCGGAUCGUCCAGCACCUCGACCAAGGGGACGUCCACGAAGAACACCUGGAGGUGUUCCUAGGGGGGAGGAAUCUGUAACAUCAACCAUCCAUUCAUCCAGCCACCAGAGGGCGCCAUCUCCUCAUUACUGACUGUGCUCUUCUUCUUCCUCCACUUCCUGUAGCUUCCUGUUUAAAUCCAGCUCAGUUGUACAACAGAUUGCGAAGUAUUGCCAGCUAACCCCUGUCUCUACCAAGCGUUUUCUCAUUGCCACAUUGAUUGCCUCGUGUAUGUUCUUUGCCUGUUCUUGACCUUGUUUGUUGGAUUACGAUUUGGAUUUGUUUGCUGUACGGACUGCUUGCUGUGAUAUUGACCUUGCUUGUUAUUUGACCACGAUUAUCUGCCUUAUCCUUGUGUGUGGUUUUCUCCACAAUAAACAUCUCCGCAAAUGGAUUCAAAUACUCAACCGAGUCAGUCAUCCUUACAAUUAUAAUGUUGUGACAGAAUUGUUGGGCAUUCCAGCAAAACUAGGGAGCGCUCCAACUCUUCCGGUCACCAAUCACACCAUGGAAGUGAUGGAAGGCACUCCACUUCUACUUCUAGACAUGGGCAUUCCAGCAAAACUAGGGAGCGCUCCAACUCUUCCGGUCACCGAUCACACCAUGGAAGUUAUAGAAGGCACUUCACUUCUACUUCUAGACAUGGUUUGGAUUCAGAGGUGUUUGUGUCCCGGAUCGGGAGGUUGGAUGCAGAUUCGUAAGUGACUGAAGAAGGUUGAAGGGAUCACUCAGGUAAGUACAUACAGGUAGGUCGUCAGGUAAGUGUCCAGAAACGUGCAACAAUAUCAGGCAAUUGAUUACUCAGAGCAGGUCAAAAAGGAUGUGGUCUUUGGCAGUGACAGGUGCAGGCGAUUAAAACUUAGGAGGCUGGGAACAAGUGGGCGGAGUGUGGGGGUCUGGUGCUGAGGAUGUUGCUGAUUCCACAGGCAGCUCCUGAUGAUCAAGGUGGAUGACGACAGGGAUAGCCUCUGCCUCCUGGUGCUAGUAUUAAUUUCCUCCAGCCAAUGUAGCCAUUCCUCUAAAGCCAGUUCAUAGUCACUGAUGUAGUCACGUUCAUCAGUGACAGCUUCUUUGAGUAAAAGGCACAAAGAUGGCGUUUGUGAGGCUCACCCUGCUGCUGAGAUAGUAUGGUUACCUACCCCAGAGGUGGAUGCAUCGACCUCGACGAUGAAGAGGAGUCAGAAUACACUAGGGUAGGAGCGGUACAGAAUCUAUCUUGAGUUGGUUGAAGGUGCUGGUAUCGUUGGAGUUCCAUGUCAGAGGCCCCAUGUUUCAACAAGGAUAUUAGAGGUGAGCAGAUCUUACUGAAGUUGUCCUGUAGAAGUUUGCAAACCCCAAGAAGCAUUGCAGUUCCUUGAUGGAUGUGGGCUGUGGCCAAUUCUAAACUCGGAUCGUAUAAUUAAUUUAACUCUUAGUUUUGCAUUAAUUUUGAUUCAUUUUUAACACCAGAUUCAGUGACAUAAGAGCUGAUCUGCGCAUUACUGCACAUGUCUUCGAUGCAUUACGGCUCUGACACAGCCACUGGAGCAGAUCACGUGUUGUGUUUAAGCCAGCCAUGCUGCGACUUGUAUCAGAAGUGUCCCAGAAGCAGCUCUCCGUGCUGAUUUGCUAAUAGUCUUUUUGUGAGUUGGCACCGCGUGGAGGACGGAACAAAAUCUCAUCAGAGCCGUAAGGGGUAACAGUAACAUAAUAUGCUGAUCGUGGGCUGCUUUUAAAUUAACAUUUAUUUAUAAAACAAAAAAUAUUUUUUUGCCAGCUUACUCAGCUUUUUUCACAUGUUAUACAUAAAUAUUAAUACGUAAUAUUUACAAACACAAAACAUUUUUUUAAAUAUUUUUACUGAUGCUAAAAUGUACCCUUUAGACAUUUUUCAACAUUUAAAAUGUACAAAUCGCUAUGUAUAUUUAGAUAAAAAAAAUUACAAAUAUUUACAUAUCUUUUGUAUAAUUAAGAUGUUCGUAUCAAUGCAUUUUUAGCAUUUAAUCAAUAAUUUCGAUUUUAGACCUCUUAACCUAACGUUACCCCCCCCCAAACCUAAACCUACCCAUUUUACAGCGAAUAUGCAUUUUAUCAUUUUAUUUAUAAGCAAUUUAGAUUUUUACUAUUUUAGUAACAAUAUAGCAUUGAAAUAUUUUUAUAGUCGCUAAUCCCAUUCCUCUAAACCUCAACAUAACUAUUUCUGUACAGUAUAAGCAAAACAUGACUGACAGAUAAAUGCAAUUACUAUCAUUUAUUUGUUGCAAAAAUGUCAAAAGCAGUACCAAAAGUAAUCCAAAUGACCAUACAUUGCAGCCGCAGUCACCUCUAGUGGAAUUCAAUAUGUUUGUGUAAGGUGCAGACUAGAAUUGGUUGUUAAUCCCUGAAAAUAUUAAGAUAUUAUAUACAUUUUGAACAUAUUUUGUUGGUGUUUCAGGGCAUUCCAGCAAAACAAGGGAGCGGUCCAACCCUUCCAGUCACCAGUCAAGCCAUGGAAGUGAUAGGAGGCACUCCACUUCACAUUUUCAAUCAACCUUGGAUUCAUCUCCUGAGUGUUAUUCUUCAAGAUCUGAAACACCAAGGGCUCCAACUGGUGACAGCAUGGAUGUAUUUCCAAUGCCUGUGUCCAAAUUUCAGAAAUGUGUCCUUAAAAAGCUGGUGGAGAUCAUGCAGGAAGUCAAGAGAAUUGGAAGUGCAGAACCUAGUAAUUCAACAUACCACAUUAGACGAAUGGAGAAGAUAGAAAAUAAUAAUUGGAGGAGAAGCUUCAAAAUAAUGAAGAGAGACAUGUUCUGAUUACCCAUUUAAGUAAAGUAGGAGGAAAAAAUGUCAGAGACUGCUCAACAAAGAUUUUGGACAGACUGAUGACCAACAAUCUAAUGUCACAGCUCAACAUGAUGGGCCAUGGCUCAAAAAAAAAAUAUUUCAGUCAACAGCGCUGUACACCUCUGUGAUAGAAGCAGUCAAAAAGUGGGACAGCAAGGCCACCUAUCACGUCAUUUACAGUGCCGUGGGAAACC